Zonotrichia albicollis (white-throated sparrow) is the source of this 1024-nucleotide non-coding RNA. NCBI's taxonomy places the organism in Eukaryota, Metazoa, Chordata, Aves, Passeriformes, Passerellidae. The record is from RefSeq and is a predicted model, not a curated record.
UCCGGAAUGUCUCCGCAGAGGGAGACUCCGCCACCGCCCUGGGCAGCCUGUUCCAGUGCUCUGCCGAGGUGGAACUUCUUGUGUUUCAUUUAUGGCCAAUGCUACCCGUCCUUUCGCUGGCACCACUGAAAAGAGUCUGACACAUCUUCUUGGCACGGCCCUUUGAGACAUUUACAUGCAUUGAGGGGGAUACCAUGAGUCUCCUCCGGACUAACAGGCCCUCAGCACCCGCACAGGCGUUACCAAGGACCGACCGUGAGUGAUUCGCUUUCCCCACGAGCCAAGGCAGAGCCGGGACCCAGCGGGGAGCGAGGCGUGGCUGUUCCGGUGCUACCGUGACGACUUCCAGGAAAAGCGGCCACGAGAGUUCCUGAUCCAGGUGCUGGAGCGGGUGAAGGCUGGCAGGCGAGCCGAGGGCGAGUACCCGUUCCUCAUGGACGAGGCCAAUGUAGAGGCCAUGUUCGGCCUGCUGGAUGUCCUGGGCCAGGGCUCCAUCCGGCCCGCGCAGUACAGGGAAGCCCUUAAAACUUUGGGACUGAGCACUGAGGAUUUGGAGCUAGAAGACGAUGUGGAGAUCACACUGGAUGAAUUCAAGGAAGGAAUGAAGAAAAAGAUGCUGGAGAGCUGGUCUGUGUAUUAGUUUCAGCAGUGGUCUGCUAUAUAUAUUAAAAACAGGCAUCUUCCCCAGUUUUUCUUCUGGUUUGUCAGCUGUGAAGGGUUGAUUUUAAGCAAUAUUCUCUUUUCUCUUUUUCUCAUCUUCCCUGCCCUUCAGUGGAGCAAUCAGCUGAAGAGGACAAGUGACAAGAACAUGUGCAUGUCCAGCAGGCACUGGAGGGAGUAUAGUUAAGAAUUGCUGUUCUUAAUAUAAUUAAAUAGUUAAAAAAAAAAAAAAGUAGAGAUCUCUUUUGCAACUGAAAUAGUAUUUUGGAGUUUCCUCCUUCAGGUCAUAGUUUACAGUAAAGGAUUGUUACCUGUUGGCUCAUUAGCACUCAAUAAAAUAAAGUUGGUUUUUGGGCUUGUGCUG